GGUUAAGCGACUAAGCGUACACGGUGGAUGCCCUGGCAGUCAGAGGCGAUGAAGGGCGUGCUAAUCUGCGAUAAGCGCCGGUAAGGUGAUAUGAACCGUUAUAACCGGCGAUACCCGAAUGGGGAAACCCAGUGUGAYUCGUCACACUAUCAUUAACUGAAUCCAUAGGUUAAUGAGGCGAACCGGGGGAACUGAAACAUCUAAGUACCCCGAGGAAAAGAAAUCAACCGAGAUUCCCCCAGUAGCGGCGAGCGAACGGGGAGGAGCCCAGAGCCUGAAUCAGCAUGUGUGUUAGUGGAAGCGUCUGGAAAGGCGCGCGAUACAGGGUGACAGCCCCGUACACAAAAGCGCAUGUGCUGUGAGCUCGAUGAGUAGGGCGGGACACGUGGUAUCCUGUCUGAAUAUGGGGGGACCAUCCUCCAAGGCUAAAUACUCCUGACUGACCGAUAGUGAACCAGUACCGUGAGGGAAAGGCGAAAAGAACCCCGGCGAGGGGAGUGAAAAAGAACCUGAAACCGUGUACGUACAAGCAGUGGGAGCACAGGUUUACCUGUGUGACUGCGUACCUUUUGUAUAAUGGGUCAGCGACUUAUAUUCUGUAGCAAGGUUAACCGWAUAGGGGAGCCGKAGGGAAACCGAGUCUUAAYYGGGCGUUAAGUUGCAGGGUAUAGACCCGAAACCCGGUGAUCUAGCCAUGGGCAGGUUGAAGGUUGGGUAACACUAACUGGAGGACCGAACCGACUAAUGUUGAAAAAUUAGCGGAUGACCUGUGGCUGGGGGUGAAAGGCCAAUCAAACCGGGAGAUAGCUGGUUCUCCCCGAAAGCUAUUUAGGUAGCGCCUCGUGAAUUCAUCUCCGGGGGUAGAGCACUGUUUCGGCUAGGGGGCCAUCCCGGCUUACCAACCCGAUGCAAACUGCGAAUACCGGAGAAUGUUAUCACGGGAGACACACGGCGGGUGCUAACGUCCGUCGUGAAGAGGGAAACAACCCAGACCGCCAGCUAAGGUCCCAAAGUCAUGGUUAAGUGGGAAACGAUGUGGGAAGGCCCAGACAGCCAGGAUGUUGGCUUAGAAGCAGCCAUCAUUUAAAGAAAGCGUAAUAGCUCACUGGUCGAGUCGGCCUGCGCGGAAGAUGUAACGGGGCUAAACCAUGCACCGAAGCUGCGGCAGCGACGUGGGUUAAUAGAAACGGGUUAAUAUUCCCGUACUUGGUGUUACUG
Molecule: ribosomal RNA, 1218 nt
Filed under: Salmonella enterica
Lineage: Bacteria; Pseudomonadati; Pseudomonadota; Gammaproteobacteria; Enterobacterales; Enterobacteriaceae
Description: partial 23S ribosomal RNA
Source: RNAcentral